RNAcentral lists this long non-coding RNA (542 nucleotides) under Solanum tuberosum (potato). RNAcentral's name for it is "long non-coding RNA (STUB_LNC010318)". The record is from RNAcentral. Lineage: Eukaryota; Viridiplantae; Streptophyta; Magnoliopsida; Solanales; Solanaceae.
UUCAUUUUCUCUCUCUACCUUUCCAAAAAUGUCCGGUUACCCGCACAAUGUUCCCGGCUACGGUUACGGCCAGCCACCGUCAUCUCAGCCGUAUUCCUCCACCCCAUACGGCGCCCCACCACCGUCUUCAGCCUCACCAUACGGUGCUCCACCUCCGUCUUCAUCAUCACCCUACGGUGCUUCACCAUCACCUUACGGUGCUCCACCACCGCAUUCAUCAUCACCCUACGGUGCUCCACCUCCUCAAUCUCACUCCCCUUACGCUCCCGUUCCGUCUACCUACGGCGCCGGAGCACCGCCUUACGGUGAUCCGCAUAAACCCCCAAAAGAGAAUAAACCACAGUCUUCAUCGCCUUACGGUGGGGCAGGAGCAGGGUACCCUGCCCCACCUCCUUCGGCUCCUUACGGUGAUCCGAACAAACCACCGAAGGAUAGCCACUCACAACCUUCUGCUCCUUAUGGUGGAUACCACGCGCCACCUCCUGCUGGGCCUUAUGGAGCUAGUAGCCCUUUUGCAUCUCUCGUGCCCUCUGCUUUUCCAC